GUGAGGAAUAUUGGUCAAUGGGCGGGAGCCUGAACCAGCCAAGUCGCGUGAAGGAAGAAGGAUCUAUGGUUCGUAAACUUCUUUUGCAGGGGAAUAAAGUGCAGGACGUGUCCUGUUUUGUAUGUACCCUGAGAAUAAGGAUCGGCUAACUCCGUGCCAGCAGCCGCGGUAAUACGGAGGAUCCAAGCGUUAUCCGGAUUUAUUGGGUUUAAAGGGUGCGCAGGCGGGUUGAUAAGUCAGCGGUGAAAGUUUGCAGCUUAACUGUAAAAAUGCCGUUGAAACUGUCGGACUUGAGUGUAAAUGAGGUAGGCGGAAUGCGUGGUGUAGCAGUGAAAUGCAUAGAUAUCACGCAGAACUCCGAUUGCGAAGGCAGCUUACUAAGCUACAACUGACACUGAAGCACGAAAGCGUGGGGAUCAAACAGGAUUAGAAACCCGAGUAGUCC
This 445-nucleotide ribosomal RNA is filed under the name uncultured bacterium. RNAcentral describes it as "partial 16S ribosomal RNA". It matches the Rfam family "Bacterial small subunit ribosomal RNA", at positions 354 to 796 of the family's 1533-position model. The record is from RNAcentral.